ACAAAGGAAAUAAAGAUUGACUAGCUUAAACAUGAUGGAUUGGACCUGUUGAGUUUGAGUGAAUAAUCUUUUCUUUUGCCCUAACUGUCUAUAACGACUAGAGGUGGUGUUUGGCCUGACGGCAUAGCCUGCCCAGAACCCACCAUUUUGUUGAGAAAAGUUCAUUAGCUACUUUGCACAUCACUUUGUGAAUUAAUUCUAUCGAUUUCAGUCUCCGUACCUCCGACGUUAUUCUUGAUGCAAUUUCGAUCAACUAACAGACUGUCCAAACUGAUGAAGGAGCAAAUCUUCAGUGACAGGAUUCGGAAGGCAGUACGGAAAAUUCCAAACGCGAGGUGAGCCCCGGCAUGGUGGCUCCUGGUAGUUCUACUUCUCAAUGUUCGUGGGCAACUACGCUCUCGAACCAGCCAACAAGUCCAAGCUGCAGAAUCCUUUCUUCUCAGUAGUCAAUCGGUCACAUAAUCUAUUGAAGCAAAAUGUGAUCAUUUGCUGAUCAAAAAUCAACUCCGCAGACUAUCCCAGGCUGUUUUCUUAAGGGACGCAUCAAUGGAAGCAUGCAAACCGCAACUCUUAAGCAUUUGGACGGAUCAUGGCCAGUGAAGCUCCUGUACUACCCACAACAUGGCUCGGGUAAGCUCUCUGCCGGUUGGGGCGCGUUUCAGAAAGGAACUUCUCUAAAGGAAGGAGAUGUCUGUGUGUUCGAGCUUGUUAGAAAUGAUGAUAUUGAAUUCAAAGUCUCCAUUUUCAGAAGGAAUGUCGACACUUAGGCGUAAACUUUGGUAUGCCAUCAGAAAAAUC
Long non-coding RNA from Rhodamnia argentea, 798 nucleotides. RefSeq lists it as uncharacterized. The transcript has 4 exons. The record is from RefSeq and is a predicted model, not a curated record. NCBI's taxonomy places the organism in Eukaryota, Viridiplantae, Streptophyta, Magnoliopsida, Myrtales, Myrtaceae.